UCAGGAUGAACGCUAGCGACAGGCCUAACACAUGCAAGUCGAGGGGCAGCGGGGCGAAGCUUGCUUUGCCUGCCGGCGACCAGCGCACGGGUGAGUAACACGGUAUGGAACCUGCCCGCCACAGGGGGAUAACCGGUAGAAAUGCCGACUAAUACCCCGUAUGCCCACAGGGGCGCAUGCCCUGGUGGGGAAACAUUCAUGGGUGGCGGAUGGCCAUGCGGCGCAUUAGCUGGUUGGCGGGGUAACGGCCCACCAAGGCGACGAUGCGUAGGGGGUUCUGAGAGGAAGGUCCCCCACAUUGGAACUGAGACACGGUCCAAACUCCUACGGGAGGCAGCAGUGAGGAAUAUUGGUCAAUGGGCGAGAGCCUGAACCAGCCAAGUAGCGUGCAGGAUGACGGCCCUAUGGGUUGUAAACUGCUUUUAUAAGGGAAUAAAGUGAGAGUCGUGACUCUUUUUGCAUGUACCUUAUGAAUAAGGACCGGCUAAUUCCGUG
This 495-nucleotide ribosomal RNA is filed under the name uncultured bacterium. RNAcentral describes it as "bacterial SSU rRNA". It matches the Rfam family "Bacterial small subunit ribosomal RNA", at positions 24 to 507 of the family's 1533-position model. The record is from RNAcentral.